Long non-coding RNA from Bombus pyrosoma, 10776 nucleotides. RefSeq lists it as uncharacterized. The transcript has 2 exons. The record is from RefSeq and is a predicted model, not a curated record. Lineage: Eukaryota; Metazoa; Arthropoda; Insecta; Hymenoptera; Apidae.
CAUCGAUCGAACGUUAAGGAACUGCUUCUUACCGGUGAGACAGGAAACGAGCAAAUGAAAAUUACGGAAAAGUAGGUCAUUGUUACGACCUUACGUUCGAGUAAAGAUAAACGCGUUCAUGUUUGACAAAUUCCUACGAAAUAUACAUUUUUGAAUUUUAAAGAGAGUUUCGCAACACUCGUUAUACAAUUACGAAAAUUAGGGCUUCCGAGUGCAAGCUUUUGAAAGAAAUGUCUCGACGUUUCGCAUCGCAGUUACCUUAGUCAUGAGAUGAAUUUGCUUUUCAAUUUUUUAUUAUAAAGUAUACAAUCCGCUGCCAGGUGGACGUUCGUUAAACUCUUCUUACAUCGAGUUUACGUAGCAUAAUAAAGCGGAUAUUUAUACGUUUAUAGGAUAUUUAAAAGCGUAAAGCUGUACAGAAUAUACACGGUAUAGAAAAAAAUAUUGAAAUAUCCAAAUGUAUCUCGUUACGAUAUUCAAGUUACCGUUCAGAACGCCUUCGGUUGUAAUUUCAGAUAAAAAUAUAAAUUUUUAAAUAUCUGCAAUUUAAAAACGAUAAAGAUAAGAUAGUUGUUUGAUUAAAAACUCGAACAAUACGCGAAUACGUUAUUGGUAUCGAUCUGUAAUUUUGACAUAUCUCUUUCGAAAGAACGUGCUUGGCACGCGUAAGCCCCGAUUUUUAUGAUCGUGACGCGCGAUUACCAUACCAGCAGUUUUCAAUUUUUAUUUGUUUUUGUUAAGCAGAGGAGUCGUUUACCGAGCACGCGGAGAGCGUGAAAAAUCGAUCUUUGGUAUUAAAAAGCGAUACUUCACCGGCACGGUAAAACGAUACAAGUUACAAAGCUUGGAUAAUUAAAGUACUUUGCUGCUACUUUAUUAAAUAAAUCGAAAAAUAUCCGAUCCUUCGUCGAUAGUUACUAUCGAUAUUAAUUUCGGGUUACCGAGCUGAAACCGUAAACCGAACAAUAAAAAUCUUCUGGAAAAACAUUCCUUUUCAGUUUUUCAUAGAUGCUUUUAUAUUACGAGUAUUAUAACACACCAGCUCAUAACGCGAUUUAUAAUUCCGUUGAUCUCGCAACGAUUGAGAGAAUGAGAAAAGCGACUGACGUCAAUCGAAUUUCGCUUUUUGAUUAAUAACGUAUUCUAAUACACAAGAUGAGAAGCUAGAACCACAUAGAUUGGAAAAUGGAUGAUAAAUGUACGAUGUUUUGUAGAAACUGCUAGUCUAACCGUUUCGUUAUCUUGACCGAAUCGAUAUCGAGUCUGUUAACCGAUGCAAUUUAAUAUUCCUCGAAUAUUAAGGAAGGUGAAAAACGGAAUGAAAUAUGUGGUUUUUUUCAUCUGACUUUGUAAUCGAAUACGUCUAAUGCAAGGAUAAUUUUAACGUUGAAUCGAUCGGCAAUUGAUCAAAUUUCGAAAUUGCUCGUCUAUUUUUGUUUUACGCGUACCAUAAUUUUCACCUGCUUACUAAUACUUUGCUUGAAAAAAUUGGAACGCGUCGAACAAAAACGAAACGUGCUAGAGUAUUCUUUCGCUCUUGAGAAGAAACGCGAAUAAGGCAAAGGUCGCUUUUGUUAUGCGUCGUUCGAUCGGGUCGCGUGAAUUAAUCAGAACGAGUCUGUUGUCCAUCGAUCGAUUAUUGAAAUUAGUCUUACAAGCCGUGGGAACGAGCGAGCCUGUUCUCUCGCGACUGAUUUUUGGGAAGAAGAAAGAGAUGCGGCCGAAACGUGGCCCUUCGGUCGGCCCUUGAAACGCGAUUCCCUCGCCGCGAAAGCAGGUGAAUAUUUUCGACUGCUCUUCUCGCGAUCGCACGGAGAAAUAUCGAUGGAAGCUCAUUGAACUCUGAACGCAGAGUAAAAUACGGAAAAAAGAGGGAUAUCCAAAAACAGGAAAAAAAAAAGAAGGUGAAAAAGGCAGCCUGGAUAGUCCUAUCGGGGAACGUGUGUUACGGUGAAUGUAACGUAGCAUGUUUCGUAUCUGCGAGAGAAUUAGCGGGUAUUUUAAAUUCUAAAUUUAUCGUGAAAAACUGUGAAAUUGCACGGUGAUUUUGAUCACGAAGGACGUCCAGUAUGGUGGCUGAUCUAUAAUCAAGUUACCUACGUAAUGAAAACCUUUUCGAUGCUUUUUUCAUUCGAAAAAAAAGAAAGAAAAAAAAGAGAAAUAGAGAAAGAGAGGGAAAAAAUCGAUCAUAGAGCGUGCUUAACACGGCGAUCAAUGCGUACGCGGUGUAUGCACUUCAGAUUUAUGGAAAAUUAAUGCGGGUUCCACGUUAUUUUAUCCUCCAAUGACGCUCGACGAUUUUAUUUUAUUACGAGGUCAACGAGUAGCUGAUCUGCGAUCAACAGCGACGUGAUAAGAAUAGGAAAAUCUAGCGUUGGCUUUUUUUUAACGCAUAUAAAAAAAUUUGGUUUUUCUAUCUCUAACUAGACAAUUACGCGGUACCUAGUUAUUAGCAAUAACAACGAAAUACGCUUUUUGGCUCUAUAACGACGUGAAACGAGAAACACGCGCGUGAUCUAUAUUAACCCCUUCGAUUUUAUGAACGCCUAUAUGCGCUGAACGAAAUCCAUUCUCUUGGUCUAUGAAUACAUUUGUGUAUAUGCAUUGGAAAUUCCAUUGCCGCGAACUAUGUACGUUCAACGCACUCUGUAGUCGUUUUCUUUCUUCUUCUUCUUCUUCUUCUUAACGCAAAUAAAAAUCGAAUGUCUCUUUUAUAAGUUCGAUCGAUUAACGUCGUAGGCUUUAUUUUAUUCGUAAUCUUAUUACAUUUUCUUUAUCUUUAUAAAGAGAUAAAAAGAUAGAGCAUCGACGUGUUUCAUCACGUGGAUUAUGAAGUCCGGUGAAUGGACCAUGCAUCACUGUUCGACCAUAAUGGAACGUUGUAAGGUAAAAGUUCCAUCCACCGAUGUUGAUAUAUAGCGUAAGAAAGAAUUCAUAUCGAAAGGGUUAACUCUUGGCGGUUCUAGUAGCCUUGGAUGUUUUAUUUUACCUGGUUCACACUCGGUAAGCUACUUGUAACGUUAUAACAUUGUGAUAUAUAACGUUAUCUUUGACAAAUUUUUAACAAACACUGUUCCGUUCAACGUUGUACAAACAUUGCUACGUGAUACGCGGAGCAGAUGAUUUUUUUUCUCUCCCUUUUUUUUAUCAGGUAGAUAUUCGCAGUAUUUCGAAAAAUUUCUGACAACGAGACUCUCAGAUCCUGUACAUACGUUCGAAUACAGCACGAAAAAGCGAAGAACGAAUCAUAAUUCACAAUUCGAUUAAACGAUUUCUCAAUUUCCGUUGAUACAAGAAUUUACGUAAAAGUUGGACUAACGAAAGAAACAACGACGAAUGUAUAAUUUUAAGUUAAAUUUUGAAACCGGUCGUUCGACCGGGCCUGCUAAGGUUAAUGUUAAACGAAUCAUCUUUCGAAUCAUAGUAAUAAUAAAUAUGUUCACGAAAUGUUCCAGCAAGCGUUCGAAUACUCGCGCGAGCCACCGUAUAUUAGAUAUGUAUAUAUAUAUAUAUAUAUAUAUAUAUAUAUGGGCGAUGAUUUCGACGAGAGCGGAUAGUUCAACAAGUAGCCGAUCCAUAAUCAAGCGUGACAGCGGUACCUUUCAUUCGGCUCUUUUGCGUCUAGCUGUCCGUUGUUCGCGCGCAUUCGAACCUCGGAUAGUUGGAAUUUACAGAGAGUUAUUGGACAUUCCAAAGUUCUGAAUUACGGCUGGCGAAUUACGCGGCGAUCUUGACACGGAAGUCGAAAGAGUGUACGCGGUUGAUUUGCAAUCAAAACCAAUCACGGGUACAGCACCGCACAGAGAGGGAGAGAGAGAGAGAGAGAGAGAGAGAAUAUCAUAAUCGGUGAACCCUUUGACCCCUGGCUUAAAUUACAAACGUGGUUUUAUCGUUGUAAUUAAAUAGUUCGGUAUUGACGUUGUUUCGCCUAUCGAUACGCUCGAUAGCGUGACCUAGAUGCGUGCCGUACAGAUCAAUUGGGUAAAUUCCUAUUCGUCGUACGGUUUUGCUUUGUACGCCACGCGGUCGUCGUCGUGGUUAAUGGAAUAGUUUGAUAAUGACAUUCCAAUGUGUGUGUAGACUGCAGCUCGGAUUCACGAUGACUUGCGUGUUUUCAUUUGGUUUAGAAUAAACAGCUUGCCGCUUAGAUACAUAUCCGAAGACGCGUGUUAACGUUUGGCGCGACUCAAAAAACUCCAAAUUUCCCUUUAUCGAAUAGAAGGCGUACGUUAUGUUUUUAUUUAUAUCGCGUAAAAUGAUAUAUUUAUGAUUCUAUCGGUUUUAUGUCGACGAUACAGUUAUAAGGUCGAUAUCGUUAGUCAUGCCGCUAUCGACCUGAUCUUAGCGUUACAGCGACACCUGCUUUGCUUGUUUCGUGCAUGCUACAAGCGGAAGGUUGCACCGCUUCCGCGAAUAGUGGCAUGCCGUGCGUUAAGCCAGCCCCGUAAUGUCGUUGAAACGACUCGCAAACAUUUCUUUAACGUCGUUCUAUAAAAUGUACGUUUUUUAGAUUGCGCCGCUAUCGAUACCAAGCAGCGAUACGCUCUGCCUUAAGAUUGCAUUUUCCUUCGCAUUCCUGUCGUCUAUUCUUGGGAUUUCUACUUUCACGCGCAUUCCUAUUUCUUUUAAAUCGAGAGACACAGAUGGUCAAACGAUAGUUUUCCUUUGGCGUGCCAAACUUGACGCUCUGUCUUCUUUCCUUGCUUUCUAUUUUAGUACUAUACACGCACGUAAAGUAUAUUUAUUUCUGUUAAAAUCCUCUUUGUAUCGUUUAUUUGCUACACAUUCUACUUUGUUCUUCGUUCUCAUUCAAGUACGUACAUUAAAUUUCGCGUUAUCCAGUAGUUGUUCCACGUGACGAAAACUUGAUACGAAAAUGAAACGUAGAACGUAGUAAUAAAAAGACGCUCCGUUGUAAAAUAAAGGUGCGCGCAAAUAUCUUUUGUAGCCACGGUGAAUAAUAAAAUGAAAUUUUUUCUUUCCCGUGCUAAAGUCAACAUUCUAUUUACUUGUAUUAAAAUCUAUAUUUCAUAUUUAUUUUGGUACGGCUUUGCUUUUGAAAUAAAUACUCGAAUAAGAGUGUAACAGCGUGAAAGUAGUUUAUCCAAUAUAAAGCAAUUAAAUCGAACGUGACUCGAGCCAUAAAGCGCGCAUUAUGAUAAUGGUUUCCUGUUUCUUCUCUUUUUCUUUUCUUUGUCUUUGUUUCGCUUUUGGCCUUUUUAGCAAAGGUUGCAAUUUUGAGAGAAAUUCAGAGCGUCGAUGUUUGAUUAAUUUAGAUCGUUUACUUCAUAAAUAAAGCGCGCGUGAGAUGAAAAUAAUUGCGAUGAUGAUUUUCCAAAUCUAAUAAUACCGGAACGACAAAAGCGAUUCGGUAAUUUUGCGUAUGUAAUUGUUAUCUUGAAAUACGGGAGCUCGUGAAAUGCUCUAUAAUACGAAAAUAUGCAUCGACCGUGUCUUCGGCGUUUGUUAAAACAUUCAUUAUCAGCAUCAAUAGGCAAUCAAACAGAUAACGCGUUAAUUAACUUGACAUCGAAAUUAAAUUUACUUCCGUGUCAAUUAAUCCGUUAACUAGGAAAGACGAGAGUUAAUUCCUCGCCCAAAUCGUCCAUAUUUUCAUCGUACAUACCGAUGCACACCGGUGUACUUAUUAACGCAUUGCUCCAAUUAAAAAAAAAAAAAAAAAGAAAGAGAGAGAGAGAGAGAAAGAGGAAGGAGAAAGAACGUUUGCAGUUGAAAAAGUUAAAAUAAAUUUAAUCGAUACCCGCUUUCGACAAUUUUUGCUUUUUGCGCCAAUUACACCGUCAACUGGGAGACGUACUAAUAAAUAAUAAUUUAUUCGCUGCAAUAUCUCUCCCAAAAAAAGAAAAAGAAAAAAAUAAAAUAAAAAGAAGAAAAAACAACGAUCUAUUAAUCGAUGUAUUAAUUGAAAAUAAUACAGAGUCGACUAUUAUGCAUAUCUCUAGCGUAAUAAUUUAUUCGACAUUGCGAUAUCUCUUACGAAACGCUACAAAAAAGGAAAGGGGAGAGAAACGUAAUGCUGCGUAUUUACAAAUUCACAAAAAAUUAAAACCGAUCUGCCCGGUACAUAUACGCUUUUGUUAAUUGCUACUUUUGUGAAUGAAAGAGUUUCUGAGCACGGCAAACAAAAUUCAGUUAACCGGUUGGACAGAGUUUUCGAGCAACGCAGGAAAAAAACAAUUGGAAAAACGUAAAACAAACGAAAUAUUCCGUAUACAUCGCGUUCUAUAUGUACGAGCGAACAAAUUCUCGUUGCCUUCGUCGAUGGGAGAGACGUUGUUGGGGGCUCGCGAUAAACGUUUUCGUCGGAUCGAUAAACCGGUCGAAGCGAUCGGUGCUAAGAUAUAAUUUUUCAUUGCUCGUUAUCCGACCUCUUGGCCUGACAUAUUUGCAAACGGUAAAGCAUCGAUACUAUAGCAUUCACCUUAGCUCGUUCAAUUUACAUAACUCGUGCUCGUUGCGGUAGAGCAAACGUCUUGAAUGUUUCUCGAGCGGUCUAAUCAAUAGCGAUACCCAGUGACGUCGAGUGGCGAUGAAAUCGAUUAAUCGGUUUCCAUUUUGCCUACCGAUCCAGGAUCCCGGUGGCUAUUCAUUAUUACGCGGCAACAGUACGGUUUUAAUAUUAAUUGCCCGGUCCGUGACGUAGACCCCCUUUCUAUCGUUCUACAGUUUCAAUAUCGCAGAGCCAAUUAAACGUAGAGACCGAUAAAAGACGGAAAUCAAAGCGGAAAGAGUUGGAGGAGCUGCUGGAGCGGUGAGACGAUACGAUAUGCAAGUCCAUAAAGAAAAAGAAAGAAAGAGAGAAAAAGUAGAUAAAAAUAAAAAAAAAAUACAAAAUGGGUAAUAGCGAAAAUAAACGAAGGAGGGAGGAGAGGAUCGCCAGGUUGCUCCAGUUAUUCGCGUAUGAGACGAUUAAUCGAGAAUAUAGGGAAUUAGCGGCGCGUGCAAAAUGUUUGCGUGAAACUACCGCCUCCCCACGUGGUGUUCCUUUAAUCAGAAAAAUAUCGGCAAAAAUCGGAUCGCACGGAGCGUAUGUAGGUCGUUGAAAAAGAAAUCCUGGUCGUGUUACAUAACGACGUGUGUUAUGGAAGAUUAAUUACAUCGGUCGGCACAUUGCUUUUUCUCCGUUAAACUGCCUAAAAGCCUUUUUGUUCUCGAAGGUCUGUUGUUCUGGUCUGUACCGUUGAUUUUUAUUAGCGUUGAUUAAGAAAACACAAAGUUGCUAAAUACAGAGAAUUCUCGCGCGAUAUUCUGGAUUGCGCAUAGAAUGUUCGAGAAAAAACGUCGAAAUACUUUAGUUUUUUAGUUAGUUAGUUUUAGUGUAUUUAGUUUAAAAAUCCAAAGAGUUUGGACGUGAAUUUCCUUCUUCGAUUGGAAACGUUUUUGAAUUACGAAUAAACUUAAAGGCGAUCGUUUACAUUUAUAAGCGAGAGCGUGGAAAAAUACUCGUGACUUGAACCUGUUACAGGCGAGAGAUUUCUAUAAUUCGAAAACGGGAUAUUUUCUAUCUGUAAUCAAAAAUGGAUAUCCCUUCGAAAUUUAGCUUUCUAAUUUUCGAACGUACGAAAUCGUUUCAUUUUCUUUUAAUUCUGGAUUCAAUUUCUGGAUUGAUUCUCAUACGCGGGUAUACUUGAUAGGUAAUAAAUUUGAAUUUGUCGCUACCUGUUAUAAACGAGAAAUUUUUUCAAAUCAAAGUGAAGUAUCAUUUUAAUUUUCCAAAUCUUAAGCCAUAUGAAACACGCAACAGGACGAUGGAUAUCCCUUUAAUAUUCUCUCAAUUCUCGAAACAUAGCGUACAUAUCUACGUUAUUUACAGUUAAUUUGCAUAUGUCACUACGCUUAAUAGGACAAAAAUAGUAGAAAAUAGAACAAAAAUAAUUUAUCAAUCGAUCAAUAUCAAUUGAGCCUUUCUUCUUGAAUUCGAGUUUAUACGUUUGUUGUAAUUCGAUAUUUUAUCGUUGCUAACGAAAAAACCGCACGACCUUUUUUCGCUACCUAAUAGAUGUUCGACAUCUGGAUUUGUCGUUAUCUUUACAUAAAAUUUACGAUUCGUUGUUCUCAUAAAAAUUUAUUAAAAAUGAUCACCUAUAUUAGAAUAUAACAAUUGAAAAUUAUAUAUAAUUCGUAUAAUUACUACAAUAAAACGCUUGUUAGAAUCGGCUAACGAUUAACGCGAGCAUUCGCGUGAUCAAUGCACGAAAUUGCAAAUGAUGUUGCAUCGAUAACGCGACGGGUCAAAGGCUAACGAAUAUUUGGGUGAACCGACUUCUCCUCCGGCACGCAUCCGGCAAACAUAUCGGUCGACCGCGUUCGGCAUCGCUUGUAAUCUGCUAACGAUGUCGCAUUUCUCUCGCUUUGAAAUUGCACGGGGAACCGUAUCGAUUUUGCGACAGCGGAAGAGAUAUAACGUGAUAACUAGCGACGUGAAAAAUUGCGUUGCACCGCGAACAAGUCUGCGACAAUAAUAAAGGGCCUCUCUAACUGCUCUCUCGUUACCGUACAAGUAAUUUCUACGGAAGAAUUUCCAACAACGACGAAAACAGAUAAUAAAUAGCAAUUAGAUUUUUAUCGCACUUACCCUUCUAGCGUAAUAUUAGCUUGAUCGUGUCCUUAUCGAAACAAAAGAAAUCGACCGUUAUAAUCGAAACUUCUAUUCUAUUGUAUAUUAGUCACCGAUAUAACAACCAUUGCGAAUUUGCGAUCUUCGUUAUUGAAAUAUCUUCGCACUAGAUCUUUUUAUCUUUAUGGCUUAAAAUAUAUUCGUUGAAUUAUUUUCCAUCGCUUUUCGAAACACUGUCAAUGACAAAUUAAUAUGGCCAGCCUGCGUUAAGUUAAAUAGUUUCGAAUACCGAAAAUAACGUUGAUACCAUUUCGCGGCGUUUCACAAACCGUCUUUAUCGAGUAAUCUUGUACUCGUGGGAAAGAAGAAAGUUGCGCGGCUCGUUGUUCUAGAAUUAACAGCUUUGUUAAAAAGUUAAAUAACCUGUAAUAUUCCAUAUCUAACGGUUUGCUAGAGUUUAAUCAGUUUUCGAGUGCCGGCCAAGCGAAUCUGAUUUUCUUUUAUGCAAUCUUUCGUAUGCAUAUUUAAAUCGUACCGAUCGCAGCUUCUUCCCUCUUUUCUUUCAUACCGGUUUUACGCCGAAGAAACCGAUGGCUAUAAGACCGGCGAGAAAGAAGCGUACACGUACGUAUGUUUGCAUCGGGCAAACAGUUUAGACGAGUUUCCCCUUUUUCACUCUUUAAACACCGAGCGACAUAAAUGUCAGGAAAUCAACAAGAACGGACUUAUCAUAUUUUUGUCCGUGUGUCUUUCAUAUUUUAUAUAAAGCGGUAAUAUCGCUACGUUUACUUUUCAUUUUUUAAAAUACCCCGAGAUAUUCCUUUUUUAUACAAUAAAGCUACUUGGACGAUAUUAUUCCACGCGUGACUUUAUUGGAAAACUCGCGACAUAGAAGGACGAAAGUAACGAAUUUGCCUAAAUGUUCAAAUAUUUAAAGUCAUUGUCCUCGUUAGCAAUGCACGCUUAUCCUUUUUCAAAAGCUAUCCUCUAAAGAGCUGCCAAGUUAUUUCACAAAUUCUUUGAUAAAGUCGCACGUACAAUGGGUACCGUUGAAUUCGUCUUCGUUAUCCGCUAUUCCUUUCGCUACACCCUUUUUUUACACAUUUUUUUUUUUUUACAGAUUUUUACAGAAUUUUACAGAUUUUUUAUAUACACACACACACACACACACACACACACACACACACACACACACACACACACAAAAUAUUAAGUAAUAACAAAGAAAUAUAUCGCUGAAUCGUUGUCGAAAAUUUGUCAUCUCGCGUCAUUUACGUGCGCGAAAAUUAUUUAAAGUAUUUGACAUAUAUUAAAAACGCUGCCACCGCGAAAAUAAAACGACAACACUUAAACAUGGUAUCACUAGCCGGAAAUUUGAGAAAUCUAGCGUCAUAUUUGGGAAAUGUCUUUGGAAGUAAAAGGGAGGGAUACGAAUUUAUAUAGAAACACGACGCAAUUUAUAAGGAAAAAGUAUGUUAAUGUAACGCUUCGCUGUUUCUUUUAAGUUUCUUAGUAUCGUGUACCAGAAGUCAGCUACGCUCGCGGAAUAAAAAUAUCGGAAAUAUCGAUUCUCACGAAAAAAGCAUCGGCGGUUUUCUAUCGAAAAUAGGAAACACGCGUGAAUAGAUGUGCCAUCGAUAUUUCUCUCUAUAUAGUGCGAAUUGUUAAAGAGUUAAGAGAAAGUCAUUUGUCAGUUAAUAAGAGAGUAUCCGAGGGACAUCUGAGCGAUGUUCUAUCUUCCUUAAUUAAAACGUCCUGUCUAGCAUUUUUUCGCCUCUUGAAAAGAUCACGUACGUAUAUAAAUAACGAUAAAUAAAUAAUUCAAAGCAAAUUUAAUUUCGUGUCAGAAAGGCACUAAAACCGUCAAAGGAAGAUUUUCUAUCGUUGGACUUCUAAUUUAAUAUAUGAAAACCUAUCCGCGAACCGACGUUCGUUCCUAAAAGAAUUAAAAAAGAAAAAAAAAAAGAAAAAAAGAAAGAAAGAAAAAGAAGAAAAGCAGAGAAAAGAGAGAAAAGUUAUCCUUCUCAAAAAGUUGUAACGCGAGAUGGAAACAGGUUUGCUCGAUCCGAGUUUAAUAUCGCGACUAAUAAAUUGGUGUGCUGAUAAAUUGUUGGCGAGGUUCGUCUCGCUUUUGUUCGCUUCUGUUCGCGCGCGCACGGCGACUGGUCGUGCGAAAGAAUGGUAGCGAGAAUGAAAAA